AGGGAUCAGCCGGCAAUUAAGCUC
RNAcentral lists this non-coding RNA (24 nucleotides) under Arabidopsis thaliana (thale cress). The record is from RNAcentral. Lineage: Eukaryota; Viridiplantae; Streptophyta; Magnoliopsida; Brassicales; Brassicaceae.